This 253-nucleotide ribosomal RNA is filed under the name uncultured bacterium. Its description in RNAcentral is "partial 16S ribosomal RNA". It matches the Rfam family "Bacterial small subunit ribosomal RNA", at positions 524 to 776 of the family's 1533-position model. The record is from RNAcentral.
UACGAAGGGGGCUAGCGUUGCUCGGAAUCACUGGGCGUAAAGGGUGCGUAGGCGGGUUUUUAAGUCAGGGGUGAAAUCCUGGAGCUCAACUCCAGAACUGCCUUUGAUACUGAGAGACUUGAGUCCGGGAGAGGUGAGUGGAACUGCGAGUGUAGAGGUGAAAUUCGUAGAUAUUCGCAAGAACACCAGUGGCGAAGGCGGCUCACUGGCCCGGUACUGACGCUGAGGUGCGAAAGCGUGGGGAGCAAACAGG